This 512-nucleotide unclassified non-coding RNA is filed under the name Hevea brasiliensis (rubber tree). Lineage: Eukaryota; Viridiplantae; Streptophyta; Magnoliopsida; Malpighiales; Euphorbiaceae. The record is from RNAcentral.
UGGUGAUGUGUGUACAUGUUUUGGACCCCAAACUUUAGAAAGCUAAACUGUCUACUUUCAAACCCUCGCCCUUUGCUGCCUCAACUAAAAUUCAAUGAGCGCUUAAUGCAGUUGCUCAAUCAAGCCAAGUCCUAAUCUACUGCUUUUGGAACUGGGGCUACGAGAUGUCCAAUGAAAAAAUGCCUAUCAUGAAUUAUGGUGAAUGAAUAAUAUCAAUAAAUGAUUAGGAAUAGCUUAAAGAACAAGAUAACAUCAUCGAUUCCCUUCAUCUUAAAUCCUUCAAUGCCGUUAGCCAUUUUUUAUAGAGGGGUCUGAACUUUCUACACUGCCACAGGCAAUACACAAGGCCUUCCAGAUAGGGACCAACAUCUUCAUAGGUGGAUGCAAUUCCUUAAAAACCAACAUUAAAUCUGCUUCCCCACGUAAAAUAAGGGACAGGCUCCAGUAACAAGUAAUUGGAGUCACACAUUCUAGCAGCACAGGUUUCAAAAUCUUGCCAAUGGGAACAAAGC